UACGUAGGGUGCAAGCGUUGUCCGGAAUUAUUGGGCGUAAAGAGCUCGUAGGCGGUCUGUCGCGUCUGCUGUGAAAACUCAGGGCUUAACCCUGAGCUUGCAGUGGGUACGGGCAGACUAGAGUGCGGUAGGGGAGACUGGAAUUCCUGGUGUAGCGGUGAAAUGCGCAGAUAUCAGGAGGAACACCGAUGGCGAAGGCAGGUCUCUGGGCAUUAACUGACGCUGAGGAGCGAAAGCAUGGGGAGCGAACAGG
RNAcentral lists this ribosomal RNA (253 nucleotides) under uncultured bacterium. Its description in RNAcentral is "partial 16S ribosomal RNA". It matches the Rfam family "Bacterial small subunit ribosomal RNA", at positions 524 to 776 of the family's 1533-position model. The record is from RNAcentral.